Molecule: ribosomal RNA, 253 nt
Filed under: uncultured bacterium
Lineage: Bacteria
Description: partial 16S ribosomal RNA
Rfam family: Bacterial small subunit ribosomal RNA
Source: RNAcentral
UACGUAGGGUGCAAGCGUUGUCCGGAAUUAUUGGGCGUAAAGAGCUCGUAGGCGGUUUGUCGCGUCUGCCGUGAAAGUCCGGGGCUCAACUCCGGAUCUGCGGUGGGUACGGGCAGACUAGAGUGAUGUAGGGGAGACUGGAAUUCCUGGUGUAGCGGUGAAAUGCGCAGAUAUCAGGAGGAACACCGAUGGCGAAGGCAGGUCUCUGGGCCUUACCUGACGCUGAGGAGCGAAAGCGUGGGUAGCGAACAGG